GUCUCAUACAAAUAGAAUGAUACAGUUAGAAUUUGUGCCUCUAUUAUAUUUUACAUCUUUACACAGUGUUAUAGAAUAGGAAAAUCAACUAUUGAAUAUUCCUACCUCGUCUAAUUGUAAAUAGGAAUUGAGGGAGAAUGUUGGAACGUGAAGACCACAUCAGCUGUGGAAUAAAAAUACAAAGUGCAUAUAAGCGUUGGCAAGCCAAACAAAUGUGGUUUGCCCAAGUAUCAGCCAUAUUCAGCAUGGAGGCUAGCCUAUUUGUUGAUCCACUCUUGGGCUCACAAUUCUCAACAAUAUUGUUAGGAACAGCAGUUAGAGUGGUUAGAAAGGGUUAGGAAUUCUGUUUUGUAAUGAUUUGCACUUGGAAGAAUUUGCUACUGAUAUAAAUUUACUAAGAACCAUUAAGAGAGAGGAAUGCAAGAAUUCAAUACAAUUUCCUUCUAAAUCUCCUCCUCCACCUCUUCCUCAUUUUCCCUCUAUUUCCAACUGCCCAAACACCUUGGUUAAACCAUCAGAAUUCUAAGGCUCAACAGAUGCUGAAGGAUAUGAGUAGGAUUCAUCAAAUUCAACCUUGUAGGACCCCACUUUGAUAGGCCAUAACUAGGUAAUACAAGGUGAACUACUAUUCAAAAAACUUUUUCUUUUUACCUCUUUUAUUAUUAUUAAUU
RNAcentral lists this unclassified non-coding RNA (671 nucleotides) under Hevea brasiliensis (rubber tree). Lineage: Eukaryota; Viridiplantae; Streptophyta; Magnoliopsida; Malpighiales; Euphorbiaceae. The record is from RNAcentral.